Molecule: ribosomal RNA, 412 nt
Filed under: uncultured bacterium
Lineage: Bacteria
Description: bacterial SSU rRNA
Rfam family: Bacterial small subunit ribosomal RNA
Source: RNAcentral
AAUCAACGCUGGCGGCGUGCCUCAGACAUGCAAGUCGAACGCGAAAGUUCCCUUCGGGGGGCGAGUAGAGUGGCGCACGGGUGAGUAACACGUAGGUAAUCUACCUUUGGGUGGGGAAUAACAGCCGGAAACGGCUGCUAAUACCGCAUAAUGCAGCGGCUCGACAUCGAGACAGUUGUUAAAGCGGGGGAUCGCAAGACCUCGCGCCUAAAGAGGAGCCUGCGGCGGAUUAGCUUGUUGGUGAGGUAAUGGCUCACCGAGGCAUCGAUCCGUAGCCGGCCUGAGAGGGCGGUCGGCCACACUGACACUGACAUACGGGUCAGACUCCUACGGGAGGCAGCAGUCGGGAAUUUUGGGCAAUGGGCGCAAGCCUGACCCAGCAACGCCGCGUGAAGGAUGAAAUCCCUCGGGA